ACUUACUUUUGGAAUCCCAGCUCUGUCUGAACAUCUUUUUCUCCUGUGGUUUCAGUUGUUUCCUGAUGUGCUUUACUGUGAAGCCUGAUGUAUCCCAGCAGUGCAGAGGCCAACAGAUCUCAGUCUGUCUGGUUAGAAGAUACUCUGAGGAGCUGGAAGCAGUCAGUGUUAGUAGAAAUCUGCUUAGAAACUGCAGUAGUAUCUGUAAGAGAACAGGCAAAUCUGCUACAGCAAAGGUAUGCACUGAUAUGAUUUGUCGUAGAGGAGUUUCACAGCAGUUUAGUAAUUUUUCUGUAUCACCCAUGAAGCCUUGGUAGCUCAGGGAUAGCAGAGUGCCAUGUUAGCUUGUGUUCUACCUAAAUAUUUUCCAGUCUUUGUUUUCCAGACCAAUACUCUAUGUCCUGUGCCAUCAGCCUUCCAGGGAGAUGGGCAACAAUGGUCCUACUAGAAAGUUAGAAGUCUGGCAAUUCUGAGGAUCAGGAGUUUUUCCUUAGCUGAAAAUAUCAGAGGUGUCAGCCUACAAGCCUGGCUCCUCCCCGCGUCUCUCUAUUAACAUUUCAAAACCCAAAUAAUCUCAUUUUUAGGAAGGAAAUUGGAGCUGGAUUUUGAUAUUUGGAGAAUAGCACAUUAGGUUUGUGUAUUCUCCAUCCAUGUUUAUUUUAAAUAUUGUGAGUUAUUAGAAUGAAAAUUAAGUUUUAUUUGAAGAAAGUUUUCUUUUUUUUCCAGUCUGUCUGAAUGAAGGUGAGGAGUGGUUUAUAAUAUUGAAUGUGUCCAAAGUAUGUGACUGCUCUAGGCUAGCAAACAGCUUACUGUGAGAUGGAUAAGAGGAUGCGUUUGCCACCACAAUACUUAGCAGAAGGACAGCUGGAGAUUUAGCUGAUGAAAUAGCUAUUCUGGAUAAACAAAGAUGGUACAAGACAGAGGGAAGAGUGAGGUGACCAUCAGGAGAGGAUAGAGAAGAUCUCCUUAGGAAUCCAAGGUGCAGUGGGUCCAGAGAGUAAGAGCUGGGGUAAGAAGAGACUGAUUUCAUUAAACUGGAACAUGUUGCUAAAAAUGGCUCAAAACCCAUAGAGAGAUGCAGUGCCUCGUUUGGUGAGAGGGCAUUCCAUGAAUUUCACCAUUCCCCUGAGAUUCCUAGGCUCCAGGGUUUGUCUGCUUUAUAGGGUUUUAGAGAAAGUAAAAUUCUGAUCAGUUGCCAAGGAGUAAUUUUAUCAUGAGGUCUCUUUCCUCAAUAGGGCACCGUUUUUUUGUGUGUGCAAGUAAAUGCACUUAGAAUUUUGUUCUGUGCUUUCUUUUGGAUUGGCAAUAUCUCAGAGUUCUGUGCAAGCUUGAACUGCUUUUGAAUGGAGCCAAGUGAGAUGAGAAGGAGAUGAGGUGAGCCUGACACUGUUUUUACAGAGAGCAUGGUAGGACAGUUGGGGUACUGUAGACAGAAAGGACUUGCCACUGGUCCUAGCUGGUGCUAGCAAGCUUAUUGUGCAGACAGGUUUGAGAGUUGCAUGGAGUGCUCUGAAUCUUUGAUCUUUCUUUGAAAAGAAGCUCUGGGAGAUGCUGGAGGGUACAGGAAAGUCUCUAAGGUGCGGAAAUAGACUGAGGUGUUAGGGUUUGAUGGGAAAUCUCGAUGUGGAAGGAAGAUUUGUAGGGUAUGUGUUUGGGAGGAUAUCAUGGGAGCAGGAAUGUGCUGGGAAGAGCUGAGGUUUGCACUGAUGGCCUCAGAGGAGUGGGGAUGGCUGAAUAAGGACUCUGGAAGGGAUUUAUAGUCUUAUGGCUCUCCUGGGUCACUGCAGAGGGGCAGCCUUGCCCUGAUAACUGCAGAGGGUUGGCUUAGUGUGGUUUAUAUGUGACUGAGGAAGAGGUGUUUUUUUCUGGAUUAUCUCAUUUUUAGAUGCAUUGUCUCAUUUCAUAAGCACAGUCAGGUGAAAUGAGCCCUUCUGCUUCAUGAGCAUCACCCCCCCACACACCAUCCUACCCCCUAAAAAAAUCAAUUCAGCCGUGCUUUGUGGGAAGGACAAGCAUACUGUAACAGCUGUGAUGCAUUGAAACUGUAGAAUACUCUCUAGAGGUGUUUGGUACAUUAGCUGCCUAAUAGUUCUCUCCUGAUUUGUUCUGGGCAUCAGUCUGCUCUGAGGCAGACCAAGGAGCUUUGUCUUCCUGGCCCUGAGCUUCUGACCUUUUUUACAGUAAAACACAUCAAGAGUAACUAAAAUGACACCAGUUCCUGAUUUGCACAAGGCAACUAAACCCUAAAUGAGGCAGUGUUC
Molecule: long non-coding RNA, 2261 nt
Organism: Gallus gallus (chicken)
Lineage: Eukaryota; Metazoa; Chordata; Aves; Galliformes; Phasianidae
Source: Ensembl